Molecule: ribosomal RNA, 468 nt
Filed under: uncultured bacterium
Lineage: Bacteria
Description: partial 16S ribosomal RNA
Rfam family: Bacterial small subunit ribosomal RNA
Source: RNAcentral
GACGAACGCUGGCGGCGUGCUUAACACAUGCAAGUCGAACGGAAAGACCCUGCUUUUGUGGGGUGCUCGAGUGGCGAACGGGUGAGUAACACGUGAGUAACCUGCCCUUGACUUUGGGAUAACUUCAGGAAACUGGGGCUAAUACCGGAUAGGAGCUCCUGCUGCAUGGUGUGGGUUGGAAAGUUUCGGCGGUUGGGGAUGGACUCGCGGAUUAUCGGCUUGUUGGUGGGGUAGUGGCUUACCAAGGCUUUGACGGGUAGCCGGCCUGAGAGGGUGACCGGCCACAUUGGGACUGAGAUACGGCCCAGACUCCUACGGGAGGCAGCAGUGGGGAAUAUUGCACAAUGGGCGGAAGCCUGAUGCAGCAACGCCGCGUGCGGGAUGACGGCCUUCGGGUUGUAAACCGCUUUCGCCUGUGACGAAGCGUGAGUGACGGUAAUGGGUAAAGAAGCACCGGCUAACUACGUG